AACGCAUAUUGCGCUCGAGGCCUCGGCCAAGAGCAUGUCUGCCUCAGCGUCGGCUCACCCCUCGCCACCCCUUCUCCUGUCCUCUCUUAAGUGAGAGAGACCGGAAGGGGGCCGGCGGACCUGGCCGUCUCGGUUGGUCGAGCGCUCACCCGCUCGACCUGGACCGGGUCGGCUGAAGCCCAGAGGCUUGGAGCAGGACCCCGAUUGAAAGGGCACAGCUUGGUAGGUGGCUUCAUCGCCGCAUGCCGCUGGCGCCCCGAGGGCAGUGCUGCGAUCGACAAGCCCGCAGGAAAAGGUUGGCGGGGCUGCGGUCUGCGAAUUCGUUUGCAGCCGCGACCCCCCCAUCCCCAUGUUUUCGACCUGAGUUCAGGCAAGGCUACCCGCUGAACUUAA
Molecule: ribosomal RNA, 393 nt
Filed under: uncultured fungus
Lineage: Eukaryota; Fungi
Description: eukaryotic LSU rRNA
Source: RNAcentral